AGGACGAACGCUGGCGGCGUGCUUAACACAUGCAAGUCGAGCGGUAAGGCCCUUUCGGGGGUACACGAGCGGCGAACGGGUGAGUAACACGUGAGCAAUCUGCCCUUCACUUCGGGAUAAGCCUCGGAAACGGGGUCUAAUACCGGAUAUGACCGCGCUACGCAUGUGGUGUGGUGGAAAGUUCUGGCGGUGGAGGAUGAGCUCGCGGCCUAUCAGCUUGUUGGUGGGUAAUGGCCUACCAAGGCUUCGACGGGUAGCCGGCCUGAGAGGGUGACCGGCCACACUGGGACUGAGACACGGCCCAGACUCCGUACGGGAGGCAGCGAGUGGGGAAUAGUUGGACAAGUGGGACGAAAGCCUGAUCCAGCAACGCCGCGUGGAGGAUGACGGCCGUUCGGGUUACGUAAACCUUCUUUCAGUCCGCCGACGAAGCGAGAGUGACGGUAGGCGACGAGAAGAAGCCGAACCGGCCAAACGUACGUCGACCAGCGACGG
RNAcentral lists this ribosomal RNA (495 nucleotides) under uncultured soil bacterium. Its description in RNAcentral is "bacterial SSU rRNA". It matches the Rfam family "Bacterial small subunit ribosomal RNA", at positions 26 to 520 of the family's 1533-position model. The record is from RNAcentral.